GACUGAUUUAGUUGUCCAUGAGUUAAAUAAUGUCAGAUCGACGGCAUUUUGGUUAGAUCGACGUGUUGGCGUGUGAGUGGCUUAUUAAAUGUUUGUGUUGGCUGGCUCCCUGCUUGCGCAGCGAACUGUCGGCAUAUUCGUAUAUCAAUCGAGAUGGAAUUUAGCUUGUCGGAUUUUUGUGUUGCAAACCCAAUUGGUGGAAUUCUUAUUGCCCGGAUGCGUGACUUCGCCUAACACCCUUCGAGGUGCUUGGCGGCUGUUUAAGCUUCCCCAUUUUCUGCCAUGCUCUCCCUUUUAUUGGAACCAUGGAAAAUUGGCGGUUUUGCUUGUUGCCUCGGAUGCAGAGCAUGUAGCGAGCAUGUUGCAUGUCCACAUUGCUCAUUAGAGCUCUCGAUUGCUCGGAAAGAGAGACAGUCGAGCUUGGUUUUGGCUGUCGACUUGUCGAUCUAGCUCAUAACUUUGCCGACGUCUUCAAUGAUUGCUACCUGGUUGAUCCUGCCAGUAGUCAUAUGCUUGUCUCAAAGAUUAAGCCAUGAG
Molecule: unclassified non-coding RNA, 537 nt
Filed under: Sedum bourgaei
Lineage: Eukaryota; Viridiplantae; Streptophyta; Magnoliopsida; Saxifragales; Crassulaceae
Description: partial contains external transcribed spacer and 18S ribosomal RNA
Rfam family: Eukaryotic small subunit ribosomal RNA (bases 483-537)
Source: RNAcentral